CAGGACUCGCAAGACUCCUACAACCCUGUGAACCUACUAUACGAACGUUGCUUCGGCGGGUGCGCCCCGGGGAUUCGUUCCCGAGGCGCGUCAGCCCGCCGGCAGCCUACAAAUUCUGUUUCUUUGCGUUGGCAUCUCGAGAAAAAAAAAAUAAGUUA
RNAcentral lists this unclassified non-coding RNA (158 nucleotides) under soil metagenome. RNAcentral describes it as "partial internal transcribed spacer 1". The record is from RNAcentral.